UUAAGCGACUAAGCGUACACGGUGGAUGCCCUGGCAGUCAGAGGCGAUGAAGGACGUGCUAAUCUGCGAUAAGCGUCGGUAAGGUGAUAUGAACCGUUAUAACCGGCGAUUUCCGAAUGGGGAAACCCAGUGCAAUUCGUUGCACUAUCGUUAAGUGAAUACAUAGCUUAACGAAGCGAACCGGGGGAACUGAAACAUCUAAGUACCCCGAGGAAAAGAAAUCAACCGAGAUUCCCCCAGUAGCGGCGAGCGAACGGGGAGGAGCCCAGAGUCUGAAUCAGCGCGUGUGUUAGUGGAACGGUCUGGAAAGUCCGGCGGUACAGGGUGAUAGCCCCCGUACACUAAAAUGCACACGUUGUGAACUCGAAGAGUAGGGCGGGACACGUGGUAUCCUGUCUGAAUAUGGGGGGACCAUCCUCCAAGGCUAAAUACUCCUGACUGACCGAUAGUGAACCAGUACCGUGAGGGAAAGGCGAAAAGAACCCCGGCGAGGGGAGUGAAAAAGAACCUGAAACCGUGUACGUACAAGCAGUGGGAGCCUACUUGUUAGGUGACUGCGUACCUUUUGUAUAAUGGGUCAGCGACUUAUAUUCUGUAGCAAGGUUAACCGUAUAGGGGAGCCGCAGGGAAACCGAGUCUUAACUGGGCGUUAAGUUGCAGGGUAUAGACCCGAAACCCGGUGAUCUAGCCAUGGGCAGGUUGAAGGUUGGGUAACACUAACUGGAGGACCGAACCGACUAAUGUUGAAAAAUUAGCGGAUGACUUGUGGCUGGGGGUGAAAGGCCAAUCAAACCGGGAGAUAGCUGGUUCUCCCCGAAAGCUAUUUAGGUAGCGCCUCGUGAACUCAUCUUCGGGGGUAGAGCACUGUUUCGGCUAGGGGGUCAUCCCGACUUACCAACCCGAUGCAAACUACGAAUACCGAAGAAUGUUAUCACGGGAGACACACGGCGGGUGCUAACGUCCGUCGUGAAGAGGGAAACAACCCAGACCGCCAGCUAAGGUCCCAAAGUCAUGGUUAAGUGGGAAACGAUGUGGGAAGGCACAGACAGCCAGGAUGUUGGCUUAGAAGCAGCCAUCAUUUAAAGAAAGCGUAAUAGCUCACUGGUCGAGUCGGCCUGCGCGGAAGAUGUAACGGGGCUAAACCAUGCACCGAAGCUGCGGCAGCGACACUAUGUGUUGUUGGGUAGGGGAGCGUUCUGUAAGCCGUUGAAGGUGGCCUGUGAGGGUUGCUGGAGGUAUCAGAAGUGCGAAUGCUGACAUAAGUAACGAUAAAGCGGGUGAAAAGCCGCUCGCCGGAAGACCAAGGGUUCCUGUCCAACGUUAAUCGGGGCAGGGUGAGUCGACCCCUAAGGCGAGGCCGAAAGGCGUAGUCGAUGGGAAACAGGUUAAUAUUCCUGUACUCGGUGUUACUGCGAAGGGGGGACGGAGAAGGCUAUGUUAGCCGGGCGACGGUUGUCCCGGUUUAAGCAUGUAGGCGGGAAGUUUAGGUAAAUCCGGACUUCUUUUAACGCUGAGGUGUGACGACGAGGCACUACGGUGCUGAAGUAACAAAUGCCCUGCUUCCAGGAAAAGCCUCUAAGCAUCAGGUAACAACGAAUCGUACCCCAAACCGACACAGGUGGUCAGGUAGAGAAUACCAAGGCGCUUGAGAGAACUCGGGUGAAGGAACUAGGCAAAAUGGUGCCGUAACUUCGGGAGAAGGCACGCUGAUGGUAAGUGAAGCGACUUGCUCGUGGAGCUGAAAUCAGUCGAAGAUACCAGCUGGCUGCAACUGUUUAUUAAAACACAGCACUGUGCAAACACGAAAGUGGACGUAUACGGUGUGACGCCUGCCCGGUGCCGGAAGGUUAAUUGAUGGGGUUAUCCGUAAGGAGAAGCUCUUGAUCGAAGCCCCGGUAAACGGCGGCCGUAACUAUAACGGUCCUAAGGUAGCGAAAUUCCUUGUCGGGUAAGUUCCGACCUGCACGAAUGGCGUAAUGAUGGCCAGGCUGUCUCCACCCGAGACUCAGUGAAAUUGAACUCGCUGUGAAGAUGCAGUGUACCGCGGCAAGACGGAAAGACCCCGUGAACCUUUACUAUAGCUUGACACUGAACAUUGAGCCUUGAUGUGUAGGAUAGGUGGGAGGCUUUGAAGCGUGGACGCCAGUCUGCGUGGAGCCAACCUUGAAUACCACCCUUUAAUGUUUGAUGUUCUAACGUAGACCCGUGAUCCGGGUUGGGGACAGUGUCUGGUGGGUA
RNAcentral lists this ribosomal RNA (2238 nucleotides) under Klebsiella ornithinolytica. Its description in RNAcentral is "Raoultella ornithinolytica 23S ribosomal RNA". It matches the Rfam family "Bacterial large subunit ribosomal RNA", at positions 1 to 2267 of the family's 2925-position model. Lineage: Bacteria; Pseudomonadati; Pseudomonadota; Gammaproteobacteria; Enterobacterales; Enterobacteriaceae. The record is from RNAcentral.